GAUGAACGCUGGCGGCGUGCCUAAUACAUGCAAGUCGAGCGAACAGAUGAGGAGCUUGCUCCUCUGACGUUAGCGGCGGACGGGUGAGUAACACGUGGAUAACCUACCUAUAAGACUGGGAUAACUUCGGGAAACCGGAGCUAAUACCGGAUAAUAUAUUGAACCGCAUGGUCCAAUAGUGAAAGACGGUUUUGCUGUCACUUAUAGAUGGAUCCGCGCCGCAUUAGCUAGUUGGUAAGGUAACGGCUUACCAAGGCAACGAUGCGUAGCCGACCUGAGAAGGUGAUCGGCCACCCUGGAACUGAGACCCGGUCCAGACUCCUACGGGAGGCAGCAGUAGGGAAUCUUCCGCAAUGGGCGAAAGCCUGACGGAGCAACGCCGCGUGAGUGAUGAAGGUCUUCGGAUCGUAAAACUCUGUUAUUAGGGAAGAACAAAUGUGUAAGUAACUAUGCACGUCUUGACGGUACCUAAUCAGAAAGCCACGGCUAACUACGUG
Molecule: ribosomal RNA, 497 nt
Filed under: uncultured bacterium
Lineage: Bacteria
Description: partial 16S ribosomal RNA
Rfam family: Bacterial small subunit ribosomal RNA
Source: RNAcentral